AGUGAACGCUGGCGGUAGGCCUAACACAUGCAAGUCGAACGGCAGCACAGUAAGAGCUUGCUCUUACGGGUGGCGAGUGGCGGACGGGUGAGGAAUACAUCGGAAUCUACUUUUUCGUGGGGGAUAACGUAGGGAAACUUACGCUAAUACCGCAUACGACCUACGGGUGAAAGCAGGGGAUCUUCGGACCUUGCGCGAUUGAAUGAGCCGAUGUCGGAUUAGCUAGUUGGCGGGGUAAAGGCCCACCAAGGCGACGAUCCGUAGCUGGUCUGAGAGGAUGAUCAGCCACACUGGAACUGAGACACGGUCCAGACUCCUACGGGAGGCAGCCGUGGGGAAUAUUGGACAAUGGGCGCAAGUCUGAUCCAGCCAUACCGCGUGGGUGAAGAAGGCCUUCGGGUUGUAAAGCCCUUUUGUUGGGAAAGAAAAGCAGCAGGUUAAUACCCCGCUGUUCUGACGGUACCCAAAGAAUAAGCACCGGCUAACUUCGUG
This 492-nucleotide ribosomal RNA is filed under the name uncultured bacterium. Its description in RNAcentral is "partial 16S ribosomal RNA". It matches the Rfam family "Bacterial small subunit ribosomal RNA", at positions 29 to 507 of the family's 1533-position model. The record is from RNAcentral.